AUUUAUUUUAUUAAUAAAGUCAUGAAUUUGAUUCUGGUUUUUAUAGAUAUGAUUAGGAUGAGUUUUACAUGUGAAUUUUAGUGGGGUGUGAUUUUAUUCUUAAUGAUUAAUCUGAUAUUUUAUAUUCGCAGUUUUUAUUUUUAUUAUAAUUUUAUUUAUAUAAGAUUUAGUUUAUUUUAUAAAUUUAAUUAGCCAGCAAAGGUUGUGCCAGCGGCUGCGGUUAUACAUCCGGCUAUUUAUCUUUUUUGAUUAUUAUUUAUUAAUUUAAUUUUUAAUAUUAUUUUUUAUUAUUCUUGGGUGAAAUUUGAUUAAUGAAAUAUUUUAUAUUGAGUAUUAGAGUAUAAGAAACUUUUAUUAUAAACUAGGAUUAGAUACCCUAUUAUUUAAGUGUAAUUUAUUUUAUCUUAGUAUUAUUAGUUAUGAUCUUUAAAAUUAAAAGAAUUUGACGGUAAUUUAGUCUUUUCAGAGGAACCUGUCCCUUAAUUGAUAUUCCACAAUAAAUUUUACCUUAAUUUUUAUAGCUUGUAUAUCUCUGUUUAUAUGAGUGUUUUAUUAGAAUAAUUCUCUUUUAUUUUUAAUUAAUUAUAUAUCAGGUCAAGGUGCAGCUAUAUUAAGGUGGAGAUGGGUUACAUUUAUAAUGUAAUUUUGGAUUUGAUCAUGAAUGUUGAUUAAUGAAAUUGGAUUUGAUUGUAAUUUUUAUUAUAUUUUAUUUAUGAUAUAUGCUCUGGAUUAAGUACACAUCGCCCGUCGCUCUCAUUAUUUAAAAUGAGAUAAGUCGUAACAAAGUAGACUUACUGGAAAGUGUGUCUGGUAAUAAA
RNAcentral lists this non-coding RNA (818 nucleotides) under Geotomus sp. FS-2019. Lineage: Eukaryota; Metazoa; Arthropoda; Insecta; Hemiptera; Cydnidae. The record is from RNAcentral.